This 562-nucleotide ribosomal RNA is filed under the name uncultured bacterium. RNAcentral's name for it is "bacterial SSU rRNA". It matches the Rfam family "Bacterial small subunit ribosomal RNA", at positions 54 to 603 of the family's 1533-position model. The record is from RNAcentral.
CAUGCAAGUCGAGGGGAAACGACAUCGAAAGCUUGCUUUUGAUGGGCGUCGACCGGCGCACGGGUGAGUAACGCGUAUCCAACCUGCCCACCACUUGGGGAUAACCUUGCGAAAGUAAGACUAAUACCCAAUGAUAUCUCUAGAAGACAUCUGAAAGAGAUUAAAGAUUUAUCGGUGAUGGAUGGGGAUGCGUCUGAUUAGCUUGUUGGCGGGGUAACGGCCCACCAAGGCGACGAUCAGUAGGGGUUCUGAGAGGAAGGUCCCCCACAUUGGAACUGAGACACGGUCCAAACUCCUACGGGAGGCAGCAGUGAGGAAUAUUGGUCAAUGGACGAGAGUCUGAACCAGCCAAGUAGCGUGCAGGAAGACGGCCCUAUGGGUUGUAAACUGCUUUUAUAAGGGAAUAAAGUGAGUCUCGUGAGACUUUUUGCAUGUACCUUAUGAAUAAGGACCGGCUAAUUCCGUGCCAGCAGCCGCGGUAAUACGGAAGGUCCGGGCGUUAUCCGGAUUUAUUGGGUUUAAAGGGAGCGUAGGCCGGAGAUUAAGCGUGUUGUGAAAUGUA